CGAGGCGAACCGGGGAAACUGAAACAUCUCAGUACCCCGAGGAAAAGAAAUCAACCGAGAUUCCCCCAGUAGCGGCGAGCGAACAGGGAGCAGCCCAGAGUCAACAUCAAUAUUUACCGCAGGAGAAAGAUCUGGAAAGGCCGGCAAUAAAGGGUGAUAGCCCCGUAUCUGAAGCGGUAAGUGUUGUGAACUCGAAGAGUAAGGCGGGACACGUGUUAUCCUGUCUGGAUAUGGGGGGACCAUCCUCCAAGGCUAAAUACUCCUGACUGACCGAUAGUGAACCAGUACCGUGAGGGAAAGGCGAAAAGAACCCCGGCGAGAGGAGUGAAAUAGAACCUGAAACCGUGUACGUACAAGCAGUAGGAGCACCCGAAAAGGUGUGACUGCGUACCUUUUGUAUAAUGGGUCAGCGACUUAUAUUCUGUAGCAAGGUUAACCGCAUAGGGGAGCCGUAGGGAAACCGAGUCUUAACUGGGCGUUAAGUUGCAGGGUAUAGACCCGAAACCCGGUGAUCUAGCCAUGGGCAGGUUGAAG
This 534-nucleotide ribosomal RNA is filed under the name Arsenophonus endosymbiont of Bemisia tabaci. RNAcentral describes it as "partial 23S ribosomal RNA". It matches the Rfam family "Bacterial large subunit ribosomal RNA", at positions 175 to 750 of the family's 2925-position model. Lineage: Bacteria; Pseudomonadati; Pseudomonadota; Gammaproteobacteria; Enterobacterales; Morganellaceae. The record is from RNAcentral.